Molecule: non-coding RNA, 669 nt
Organism: Pelodiscus sinensis (Chinese soft-shelled turtle)
Lineage: Eukaryota; Metazoa; Chordata; Testudines; Trionychidae
Source: RefSeq, a predicted model, not a curated record
UGACAGCCCCGGCCGGGGCUGCAAUCAAUGAAGGGGUGGGACCGCGCGGCCGGGUCCCCUCCACCAGCUGAGGAGGGUUUGCUGGGAGGCGGGAGCUCCCACUCGCACGCCGGAGCGCUGCCGGGGGAGGAGGGGAGCCCAGGGCUGCUCGCCAGUGAGAGGAGCCGGCCCCCACCAGCGCCCUGCCCGCCUUUCCGGGGGCCAGCCAGCCCGGGGCGAGCGGCGCGGAGCAGGGGCUGGCCGGGUGCCUGCAGGCUGGAGCCGCCGCUGAAGAAGCCGGGUCAGCGCCUCGACGGGAGGGAAGGGCCGGGUAACCCGUUACGCUAACAGCCCACGGCGCGUUCUCUGUAAAGGAACAACAAGCGUCGCUUUCUGGGCGCGUUCAGGAAGGCGGCCGGGCGCUGCGGGGAGACGUCUCUGGGAACACGGGGAUCGGGGCUCGCUGUUCGGUACCAGCUGGGCCAGCUUUGCACCGGCAGGGGGCUGGUGUUUGUUCUCCUCGGGCUGGUAACAUGGAGCAGCUGAUCUGACCAGCGGAGCCGUCCCAGCGUUGCCCAGAAUGGGCUGUGUGUGUUGCAAAGAGAAGGGGUCAAAAAAAGCCCAGACGGAGACCAUCGAUGGCACGACCAGCCUGGCAUCGAAAUCCUGCUACGACCCCGACCUAUCCCA